CACGCCGUAAACGAUGAGCACUAGGUGUCGGGUACGUGAGUAUUCGGUGCCGCAGCUAACGCAUUAAGUGCUCCGCCUGGGGAGUACGCACGCAAGUGUGAAACUCAAAGGAAUUGACGGGGACCCGCACAAGCAGCGGAGCAUGUGGUUUAAUUCGAAGCAACGCGAAGAACCUUACCAGGGCUUGACAUCCUUCUGAAAGAUCGGGUAAUGCUGAUCCUCCCUUCGGGGCAGAAGAGACAGGUGG
RNAcentral lists this ribosomal RNA (247 nucleotides) under uncultured Anaerovorax sp. Its description in RNAcentral is "partial 16S ribosomal RNA". It matches the Rfam family "Bacterial small subunit ribosomal RNA", at positions 796 to 1041 of the family's 1533-position model. The record is from RNAcentral. Lineage: Bacteria; Bacillati; Bacillota; Clostridia; Peptostreptococcales; Anaerovoracaceae.